Molecule: transfer RNA, 64 nt
Filed under: uncultured Faecousia sp.
Lineage: Bacteria; Bacillati; Bacillota; Clostridia; Eubacteriales; Oscillospiraceae
Rfam family: tRNA (bases 4-57)
About the family: Transfer RNA (tRNA) molecules are approximately 80 nucleotides in length. Their secondary structure includes four short double-helical elements and three loops (D, anti-codon, and T loops).
Source: RNAcentral
UUUGUGUAACGGUAGCACACCGGACUCUGACUCCGUUUGCGGGGGUUCGAAUCCCACUCUCUCC